RNAcentral lists this ribosomal RNA (2013 nucleotides) under Pseudomonas sp. NBRC 111142. RNAcentral describes it as "bacterial LSU rRNA". It matches the Rfam family "Bacterial large subunit ribosomal RNA", at positions 828 to 2823 of the family's 2925-position model. The record is from RNAcentral. Lineage: Bacteria; Pseudomonadati; Pseudomonadota; Gammaproteobacteria; Pseudomonadales; Pseudomonadaceae.
GCUAAUCAAGCUCGGAGAUAGCUGGUUCUCCUCGAAAGCUAUUUAGGUAGCGCCUCAUGUAUCACUGCUGGGGGUAGAGCACUGUUUCGGCUAGGGGGUCAUCCCGACUUACCAAACCGAUGCAAACUCCGAAUACCAGCAAGUGCCGAGCAUGGGAGACACACGGCGGGUGCUAACGUCCGUCGUGAAAAGGGAAACAACCCAGACCGUCAGCUAAGGUCCCAAAGUCAUGGUUAAGUGGGAAACGAUGUGGGAAGGCUUAGACAGCUAGGAGGUUGGCUUAGAAGCAGCCACCCUUUAAAGAAAGCGUAAUAGCUCACUAGUCGAGUCGGCCUGCGCGGAAGAUGUAACGGGGCUCAAACCAUGCACCGAAGCUACGGGUAUCACCUUUGGUGAUGCGGUAGAGGAGCGUUCUGUAAGCCUGUGAAGGUGAGUUGAGAAGCUUGCUGGAGGUAUCAGAAGUGCGAAUGCUGACAUGAGUAACGACAAUGCGAGUGAAAAACUCGCACGCCGAAAGACCAAGGUUUCCUGCGCAACGUUAAUCGACGCAGGGUUAGUCGGUCCCUAAGGCGAGGCUGAAAAGCGUAGUCGAUGGAAAACAGGUUAAUAUUCCUGUACUUCCAGUUAUUGCGAUGGAGGGACGGAGAAGGUUAGGCCAGCCUGGCGUUGGUUGUCCAGGUUUAAGGUGGUAGGCUGAAAUCUUAGGCAAAUCCGGGAUUUCAAGGCCGAGAGCUGAUGACGAGCGCUCUUUAGAGUGCGAAGUGGUUGAUACCAUGCUUCCAAGAAAAGCUCCUAAGCUUCAGAUAACUGGGAACCGUACCCCAAACCGACACAGGUGGUUAGGUAGAGAAUACCAAGGCGCUUGAGAGAACUCGGGUGAAGGAACUAGGCAAAAUGGCACCGUAACUUCGGGAGAAGGUGCGCCGGCGAGGGUGAAGGACUUGCUCCGUAAGCCCAUGCCGGUCGAAGAUACCAGGCCGCUGCGACUGUUUAUUAAAAACACAGCACUCUGCAAACACGAAAGUGGACGUAUAGGGUGUGACGCCUGCCCGGUGCCGGAAGGUUAAUUGAUGGGGUUAGCGCAAGCGAAGCUCUUGAUCGAAGCCCCGGUAAACGGCGGCCGUAACUAUAACGGUCCUAAGGUAGCGAAAUUCCUUGUCGGGUAAGUUCCGACCUGCACGAAUGGCGUAACGAUGGCGGCGCUGUCUCCACCCGAGACUCAGUGAAAUUGAAAUCGCUGUGAAGAUGCAGUGUAUCCGCGGCUAGACGGAAAGACCCCGUGAACCUUUACUAUAGCUUUGCACUGGACUUUGAGCUUGCUUGUGUAGGAUAGGUGGGAGGCUUUGAAGUGGGGACGCCAGUUCUCAUGGAGCCAUCCUUGAAAUACCACCCUGGCAACCUUGAGGUUCUAACUCAGGUCCGUGAUCCGGAUCGAGGACAGUGUAUGGUGGGUAGUUUGACUGGGGCGGUCUCCUCCCAAAGAGUAACGGAGGAGUACGAAGGUGCGCUCAGACCGGUCGGAAAUCGGUCGUAGAGUAUAAAGGCAAAAGCGCGCUUGACUGCGAGACACACACGUCGAGCAGGUACGAAAGUAGGUCUUAGUGAUCCGGUGGUUCUGUAUGGAAGGGCCAUCGCUCAACGGAUAAAAGGUACUCCGGGGAUAACAGGCUGAUACCGCCCAAGAGUUCAUAUCGACGGCGGUGUUUGGCACCUCGAUGUCGGCUCAUCACAUCCUGGGGCUGAAGCCGGUCCCAAGGGUAUGGCUGUUCGCCAUUUAAAGUGGUACGCGAGCUGGGUUUAGAACGUCGUGAGACAGUUCGGUCCCUAUCUGCCGUGGACGUUUGAGAUUUGAGAGGGGCUGCUCCUAGUACGAGAGGACCGGAGUGGACGAACCUCUGGUGUUCCGGUUGUCACGCCAGUGGCAUUGCCGGGUAGCUAUGUUCGGAAGAGAUAACCGCUGAAAGCAUCUAAGCGGGAAACUUGCCUCAAGAUGAGAUCUCACUGGGAUCUUGA